This 466-nucleotide ribosomal RNA is filed under the name uncultured bacterium. Its description in RNAcentral is "SSU rRNA". It matches the Rfam family "Bacterial small subunit ribosomal RNA", at positions 26 to 518 of the family's 1533-position model. The record is from RNAcentral.
AGGACGAACGCUGGCGGCGUGCUUAACACAUGCAAGUGGAGCGACGAACCAGGGCUUGCCCUGGGGCGGAGCCGCGAACGGGUGAGUAACACGUGGGUUACCUGCCUCGAUGACCGGGACAACCCGAGGAAACUCGGGCUAAUACCGGAUGUGCCCGCAAGGGGAAAGGAAGCUUCGGCCUCCGCAUCGAGAUGGGCCCGCGGCCCAUUAGCUUGUUGGUGAGGUAACGGCUCACCAAGGCUUCGAUGGGUAGCUGGUCUGAGAGGACGAUCAGCCACACUGGAACUGAAACACGGUCCAGACUCCUACGGGAGGCAGCAGUGGGGAAUUUUGCGCAAUGGGGGAAACCCUGACGCAGCAACGCCGCGUGGAGGAUGAAGUCCCUUGGGACGUAAACUCCUUUCGAUCGGGACGAUAAUGACGGUACCGGAAGAAGAAGCCCCGGCUAACUCGUGCCAGCAGCCGC